UGGUCCCCUGUCGUGACACAUCUAAUCAAAGCAGCCGUACGGGGGGGGUCUGGACUUCACUCCGUGUUUGUCUCAACAGUCUCCGUGGUCCCGUCGGCCACUCUGCGUGCUCACACCCGCAUUCGCUGACCUUGACAUUCCUCUACGUUCUCACAUUUUCCUGCAUAAAUGAUAUCUAAAACCAGGCCACAGCACUGAAUCUGUCAGAAACUGCGGUUCAGGAGGCUGACCAAAGUGCAGUGACGAUGCCGGUGGGGCGUGGGGUCUUUGGCAGCAGUAGACCCCGCCCAGGCCCCAUGAUGAGGCCGCCAUCGUUAAUGAGCUCCUAAUACCCCGGGGCCCCCGGGGUAACGGCUGAUUUCUCCUGGAUAGCGGCUCUUCAUUAAAUGUUGAUUUUCUGUCGCGAGGAAUCCCUACCAAUUUAACAGCGGCCAUUUUCUGAGCCCAUGGCUCUCUUCAUUCGUUUAUUUGGUUUAUUUCAUCACUUAUUUAAUGCGCGGCACAAUUUUUUAUCGUUAAUGGCAGUACGGCGAUCCAGCAAGCGCAGACGGGCUCCGUGCACCCCGCCCCGCUGGGCUCUCACUGAGUUCCUGACAAGGCGGCCGGCUCCACAGUCGGGUGAUUGAUUGGGAGCGGCUGAGCUAAGAAAAAAUCCAAACUCAAUCUGGGGGGAGGCCCGGGAUGAUCAGAGACAGCCUCCCGCCUCUCAGGGACUCACUUUCUGUUUACAUGCUCCAGGAUCGAAGAUGACAGUGCAGAUCCAUCCAGGUGUUGCGCUGUAACUCCCAGAAUUCCCUUCUCCCUUUUUCGAUGUUCUCUGAGAUGACAAUUUGGCUGUUACCACCAUCACCACGAAGGGCUUUUCGUGUCUCUACGCUUCGGGGCUCUCUCUCUGUCCUGCUUUUAUUUUGACUCGUCCUCUUCCUCCCCGUAUUAUUUCUGCAGAAUGUUCUACAGUGACAGCGUGGCUAUGUGGGGAAGUGAGCAGAGAGGCGGGGUACAGGAGAAGGCUCUGAAAUCUGUGGUCUCGCUGCCCUCAGCCACUCACCAGUGCAGAGGGUGGACUGACAUGCGUUAAUGGAGGGGGAUCUGAGGCAACUGGAGGUCCCAGUGGAGAUAGAACCCUGAAGUAGGGUGGGGUGGCACCAGUACAGCUGUUUAGAUGGAAUAAUAAAAAAAAAUCUGAAUUUGUUUCAGACUGGUUAACAAAAACCACAAAGGUGAUACCUGUUUGUUAGGCUUUUAUUUUGAACAUGCCAGUGAGGCAGCUAACAUAAGGAAUAAAAGUGACACCAAUUUGUGAGGCCUAUAUUUUGAAGCUCGGUUUCAUACAUGUCAGCAAGGUGGCUAACAGGAGCCAUUAAAGUGACUGCCAUUUUUGAAGCUUUUAUUUUGAAGCUCUGGCUUUUACAUGUCAGUGAGGCAGCUAACAGGAAGUAUAAAAGUGAGAUAUUUAUGAGGCUUUUAUUUUGAAGAUGGGUCUUGCCCAUGUUGCAGAGGCAGCUAAAGAAGACAUAAAAGAGACUUUCCGUGUUGGUGAAGUAGUUAAUGGGAGGAGUAAUUGUGACACCUGUUUGUGAGGCUUUUAUUUUGAAGCUGGGUCUUGUAUAUGUCAGUAAGGGGACUAACAGGUGGUGUAAAAGUGGCCCUGGUUGUGAGGCUUUUAUUUUGAUGUUUCCCACUUCACCAUCCCACUUUCAUCAGCAUCAGAGCUGUGGCCGCCUUGUGUAGCCGGGGGUUAUCCGCAUACUGUAAUGCCUGUGCUCAGCACGUCAUCUGUGUUGAACAGGCCUGCAUUUCCACAUCACGCUUUUUCCUCUGUCUGUGAUGCCUAACAGGUGCCAGCUGAAAUAAAAAGGCUCAACAUCGUUUGCUCCUGAAAUUAUUGCAUGAGACUGAGACUGGUCAUCAGAGUUUGGUGGGGGUGGGGGUCUUUGGCUCUAAGUCCAGGCCAUGGUGCUUGUACACGCGUGUCCCUGUGCUGGUAUUUAUGCCCACCCGCAUGCCAGCAGCCCGCUGUGAUGAGCCUGCUGGGGGCGCCAUGUUAACCAGGAAGCCAGCCGGCCUGCCAGAUGUUCCAUCUCUGCUCGGGCCUGUCGGAGAUGAUGCCCCAGAGUGCCACCCAGUGGAAAGAGGGAGUCACUUCUCCAAAAACAGGCCCCCCACUGUGAGCCCGGUUCCGGUACCAGCAUCAUGGGCCUUACGUAGGAUAUUAACACGUGGAGAGGAUUCUGGAAGGUUGCCGGGCCGUUCCUGGUUAGGCUACAUUCAUGGACAGGCUGCAUGCAUCUGCGGACCCUAUGGAUGACCGGGCUCGUCUUGGUCAGUGUGCCAGCUCUGUGGAGAAGGUGCAAAUCCUGGAAUGAGGAAGUGCAGUUGUACUCUUACCCAGGUUUGUUAACCGUGCUUUGCUUAGCAUCCAGCUGAAAUGAGGCGGCGAUGGAGAAGGUCAAGACAUGCCACUCAUUCUGAGCUGAAUUACGAGAAUAAAUAAUGUGCGCUGAUGUCGCUAAUUAACGUUUUAGUGGGCUCGCCGCGUCCCGUCAUGACUGCGAGCUACUGCAGGAGGGCGGGUCCGGCGGAUGCAAAAUGCCAGAGGAAAGGUCGGCUCCGACGGGGUGAUCCAUGGCGCAGGACAGCGGGAGCCGCUCGCACCAUGAUCACAAAGAGAACCGGCACUUGGUCCUGGAGAGGUCCCGCUCCCGCCAUAAUGGAAACCCGUCCGGCCGGUGACCUCAGCCAGAUCUCGCCAGCCUCGGCCAGCCUCACAGGAAGGAAUCUGACGUGUGCCAAAGAUGGAGCUUGGGGGGGGGGGCAUCUGGAGUGAAGGGAACUGCGGGGUGAACCCGUGGGUCCGAAUGGGACGGCUUGAGGGGCUGACAAACGCAGAGGUCCAGGAUGGCCGUAGGGGAGCAGACCGUCAUCGACCAGCUGAUGGUCUGGCGGUCUCAGCAUAUUUAUUUAUUCCUACUGUGGCUUUGUUUGCAAAGGACAUGUUUAAUUACGCCUGCAGUUGAUUUUAAUCUCCUUUCCAUUUUUAUUUGCUUGUUUGCUCUCUGUCUGGCACGCUCACUUGCCCAUCUGUCCCGCUUGGUGAAGCUGACUGACUUGUGCUGGUUUACCGCCGGCUGACUUUCAGCUUACUCAAUCAGCAGCAGAACAAAAAAAAAAAGAAACAGGAAAAAAGAACAGUCAGGUAACUUCAGGUCUGAAGUUUUACAGCUUUUGUAUUCUCUAUAGACCUUUGCCCCAAACAGAGACAUCUUGCCAUCAGGACGUUCACCACAGCUGCAUUUUUCUUUGCGAAACCUUCAUCUCCCUGCCCCAAAAAGGUCUCCUCCAUUUCGACAUCCUGGCCUGUAUGUCCAACUCUCUACCUUCCAUGGAGAGUCUGCCGUUAUCCACUGCACGUCAUUUAUAUCUACGCUGAGACGCAUUGUGUAAAUGAGAAUUACGACGACAUGUACAUGCUGUGUGGAGGAGGAUCCUCACGUUUGCUUCGUUAUGGUGUUUCUGCUACCUUGAGGGUGUCUCUGUUGGCAAUCCCCAAGGAGUACGUGGGUUACUUCUGCUACAUGUAACAGAAAGGAGAUGCAGGAGGUGAAUGUGGACUUGAGAUGGACACCCUUGGUGCCGGCCCAGAGCUUGCAGAUGAAAAGAUGCAGCUCUCAGACUCCCAGUUACUCUUGCUGGGAACAAUUCCAUCGAGAAGGUGAGGCUCUUCAUCUGCCGAUGUUUGUCAAGGUGCGUCUUCAGAACCUGCACGCGGCGUCUCACGGCGAGCAGGGCACCUCCCCCUGCGGGGAAAUCCGCUCCUCCACUGGCUGAGGACUCGCAUGUGGGGGCUCCAUACACUAAGCCAAGGCAAGACGUGGAAGAGGAAGCGAUGAGGCAGCUGUGGGCCGUGUUAUGAGGAGGUAGCAGGGUCAGUAGUGGGUGCUGCUGUCUCCUCAGAUGAGAUUUAGGAUCCAGGCCUUCUAAACGUUUCCUAUCCCUGAUCCUUUUGAUUCGAGAGCAGAGCACUGCACCUCACUGGAAAACCACCAUUCCCUGGAUGGGCAUCAAGUGUGGGGGGGUGAAUUUGUAAAGGCCUGAGACUGUUUCCAGAGGUGCCCCCCACCCCGGGUCUAGCCAUAAAUAGAGCCAGCAGCAGAGAUUUAAGUGCGCGGUUUAAGGCGUGACACACCGUUCACCCCCCCCCCAGCUCGCCCUCUCACUGAUGGGCUGGUCUCCAGCAACUAAAGAGAGUUUUUAUUAAUGUGGUUUUGUGUGUUUAUGUGUCUCGAGACUCUUGCAUUUCCCUGCCCCGUGAAGCUGAUCCAUUCAAAAAGUGAGAUAAAUUAAUUCUGUCGACACACAGGAACACCGUCGAGUUCAACAGCCCACAGCGAAAUACAAUAAGCAAUUUGAGCUGAGCGCAUUUUCCAGAUGUCUCGAAAAAUUCUGCGGAAAAUCUGAUAUUUCUCCCCGUAAAGGAAGGCCAUUAGGAGUCACAUCGCAGGACGGGCGGCAGCAAGGGGGGGGGGGGCUCCAGGCCUUUGUCCGCCUGUUUACCGUGGUGCGAUACCAUCGUCGCCUACACCCUAACCGUUCAGCGCAGCGCAGAUUCACGUCGCCGCAUCCCAUCACGAGUUGCCGGGGGUCAUGCCAGCCGGCCUUGCCCUCCCCCGUUGUGAAACAGAGUCGAGGCUUUUCCUUGCGCUGCCGGCUUGUGGAGCAGGAGGAACAAAUCAGGAAGUCCAGGCAUAUAUAGAAACAGUACAAAAUACUUAUUUAAGAAGUCUGUUAAAAACAGUAUCGUCAUCAAGUGAUUAAAUAGCAGUUAAUCGAUUGACAAUUGAGCUUUUCCAGAUGAAAAAAACCUGAGGACUACGAACAAUGGGAAGAAUCCUCAGCGAGCCCCGGAAACUAGAUCCGAGCCGGAAUGACCCUGGAAUGUCUCUGCCUUACGUGAUAUUAGGAAGACAGCUGUCAUUUUCCUGCCUGGACCCAGCCGGCGUGUACGCUCGCUCGCUCGCUCGCUCGCUCUUGCUCUCCUGAGCCUCCAGGACGCAGGAUAGCUGCCACGCUGCCAUACCCAUGUUCAGACCUCUGCCAUAACCGAAUCCCGCUGACUGCGACUUGGCUGGGGGCCGGGGUCAGUCUCAGAAUGCCAUUCAUUUGCUUUUCUUGUGUGUUUAUUAUGUCACAAAAAUGGACGCCAACCUUUUGAUGAAUUAAACUGUGUAUAAGUAGAAUUUCGAUAGAGUUGUGCCAUUGGUAGGGUUGUUUACCCAGGUGGGGUGGGGUGGGGGGUGGUUUCUAUGACGAUGGAAUCACAUUUCAAACGGUGCACUUUAACCCGCUGUAGGCUGCCAGUUUGAUUUUUAGGUUUUAUUAAGAAAAGGUGGCGUCGGCACACUUGCCGGCUGUGCGUCUCUAGGGAGUGCGGUGCGACUCGGACACACGCAGAGAGGAGACGUGGAAACAUGAAGAACGGGGAAACUCCCAAUGACCUGAUUAAACAUGGCUCACGCUGUUAUGACCGCCAUGUCAUAUUGUCCUAAAACACUGUUUUGAUUUGUAACAUCUGUUUCUUUUUUGUCCUUAAUAAAAAGAAGGGGGUAUGCA
This is a non-coding RNA of Paramormyrops kingsleyae, 5610 nucleotides long. Lineage: Eukaryota; Metazoa; Chordata; Actinopteri; Osteoglossiformes; Mormyridae. The record is from RefSeq and is a predicted model, not a curated record.